This is a non-coding RNA of Papilio xuthus (Asian swallowtail), 60 nucleotides long. The record is from Rfam. Lineage: Eukaryota; Metazoa; Arthropoda; Insecta; Lepidoptera; Papilionidae.
UGUAGGGGGGAGAGAUUGACUCGACUUUUCCUAUCAGUCAGUCUUUUUCUCUCUCCUAUA